AUGGAUUACUUCCAUGAGAUGAUCUCCGCUUCAUUCUUUCAACCUGUUUAUGAGGAAGACACUCCCACGUACUAUGUUAUGCAUGAUCUCCUUCAUGAUCUGGCAGAAUCACUCUCCAAAGGGAACUAUUUCAGAUUGGAAGCUGAUAAGGUGGCAGAAAUACCAUCCAUUGUUCGACAUCUAUCUAUUUGUGUUGAUAGUAUGACACAACACAAGAAAAGCAUCUGCAAGCUACAUCAUUUACACACAAUUAUCUGCAUAGGCCCCCUAAUGGAUGAUGUAAGUGGCCUUUUUGACGAGUUACUGCAGAAUUUGAAGAAGUUACGUGUACUAUGUUUGUCAUCUUACAAUAGUAGUAAGUUGCCAGAAUCUGUUGGUGAGUUGAAGCACCUUCGUAUUUGA
This 402-nucleotide ribosomal RNA is filed under the name Triticum aestivum (bread wheat). Its description in RNAcentral is "partial small subunit ribosomal RNA". Lineage: Eukaryota; Viridiplantae; Streptophyta; Magnoliopsida; Poales; Poaceae. The record is from RNAcentral.